CGGCGUGCCUAAUACAUGCAAGUCGAACGCUUUUUCUUUCACCGGAGCUUGCUCCACCGAAAGAAAAAGAGUGGCGAACGGGUGAGUAACACGUGGGUAACCUGCCCAUCAGAAGGGGAUAACACUUGGAAACAGGUGCUAAUACCGUAUAACACUAUUUUCCGCAUGGAAGAAAGUUGAAAGGCGCUUUUGCGUCACUGAUGGAUGGACCCGCGGUGCAUUAGCUAGUUGGUGAGGUAACGGCUCACCAAGGCAACGAUGCAUAGCCGACCUGAGAGGGUGAUCGGCCACACUGGGACUGAGACACGGCCCAGACUCCUACGGGAGGCAGCAGUAGGGAAUCUUCGGCAAUGGACGAAAGUCUGACCGAGCAACGCCGCGUGAGUGAAGAAGGUUUUCGGAUCGUAAAACUCUGUUGUUAGAGAAGAACAAGGAUGAGAGUAAAAUGUUCAUCCCUUGACGGUAUCUAACCAGAAAGCCACGGCUAACUACGUGCCAGCAGCCGCGGUAAUACGUAGGUGGCAAGCGUUGUCCGGAUUUAUUGGGCGUAAAGCGAGCGCAGGCGGUUUCUUAAGUCUGAUGUGAAAGCCCCCGGCUCAACCGGGGAGGGUCAUUGGAAACUGGGAGACUUGAGUGCAGAAGAGGAGAGUGGAAUUCCAUGUGUAGCGGUGAAAUGCGUAGAUAUAUGGAGGAACACCAGUGGCGAAGGCGGCUCUCUGGUCUGUAACUGACGCUGAGGCUCGAAAGCGUGGGGAGCGAACAGGAUUAGAUACCCUGGUAGUCCACGCCGUAAACGAUGAGUGCUAAGUGUUGGAGGGUUUCCGCCCUUCAGUGCUGCAGCAAACGCAUUAAGCACUCCGCCUGGGGAGUACGACCGCAAGGUUGAAACUCAAAGGAAUUGACGGGGGCCCGCACAAGCGGUGGAGCAUGUGGUUUAAUUCG
RNAcentral lists this ribosomal RNA (942 nucleotides) under Enterococcus innesii. RNAcentral describes it as "bacterial SSU rRNA". It matches the Rfam family "Bacterial small subunit ribosomal RNA", at positions 40 to 953 of the family's 1533-position model. The record is from RNAcentral. Lineage: Bacteria; Bacillati; Bacillota; Bacilli; Lactobacillales; Enterococcaceae.